Bos taurus (domestic cattle) is the source of this 699-nucleotide long non-coding RNA. The record is from Ensembl. Lineage: Eukaryota; Metazoa; Chordata; Mammalia; Artiodactyla; Bovidae.
GCCCCAGCCUGUGAUGCUGAGGGUUCUGGGAGUACAUUCCUGAAGCAGGCCAAAGACAAUGCUGUGAGCAGUCAGUCAUCCAAGGUCUACACGUGGAGAACAGCUGCUUCAGAUUUCAGAGAUUCGGGAGGCCUGGGGAGACUUUCCUAAAUGAGAUCCCCGCUUCCGGCACACACUCCCAGUUGCCUAGCAACUGCAGGACGCACUCUGGGAAAUCUGAAGCUUCGCCCCCAGCCCCCUGUGCAGUGAUGAGCUGGUGUGGCCCACCUCCGAGGGCAUGCACUGCAGCUGAUAAUUAUCGGGGUAACAAUCAUAAUCCCGGACCUGCUAUUACUGUGUUUACCGAGGAGCGAUUGCCACAGGAGCUCACACCACUGGCCUUUCCCAGGCCCUCACCCUUCCCUCCCAGUGCUGACUAAGGGAGUAGAAAUAGCCUCGGGCUGUUCCCAGGAGUAGAAGCCACAGCCUCAGAGAGCCCCGGGGCGCUCCUACACCGGUUCUACCACUUAUGCUGCUCCCCAAAGCUGAGAGCGGCCCCCAAAGAAGCAGGAGGAAGGCGGGGGCGCUGGUCUUGCUGGACUUUCUCAGAGAAGCCAGUGGCCUGCUGUCUGCCCUCUUUUCUGGCCCACUCAAGGCCUGGCUAAGGAUGAGGAAGACUUGUGGAGUUAAGGAUGUUCAGCACCCCACACCCACCCCACC